GGUAAAAUGGCUGAGGUUAGGCGAUAAAUUGUAAAUUUAUUAACGAAAUUUAAUUUCUUUUACCA
RNAcentral lists this transfer RNA (65 nucleotides) under Anthonomus pomorum (apple weevil). RNAcentral's name for it is "tRNA-Tyr". It matches the Rfam family "tRNA". From Rfam's summary of the family: Transfer RNA (tRNA) molecules are approximately 80 nucleotides in length. Their secondary structure includes four short double-helical elements and three loops (D, anti-codon, and T loops). Lineage: Eukaryota; Metazoa; Arthropoda; Insecta; Coleoptera; Curculionidae. The record is from RNAcentral.